GACGAACGCUGGCGGCGUGCUUAACACAUGCAAGUCGAACGCUGAAGGCCCAGCUUGCUGGGUUGGAUGAGUGGCGAACGGGUGAGUAACACGUGAGUAACCUGCCCCCUUCUUUGGGAUAACGGUCGGAAACGGCUGCUAAUACCGGGUAUUCACUGUCCUUCGCAUGGGGGGUGGUGGAAAGGUUUUUUCUGGUGGGGGAUGGGCUCGCGGCCUAUCAGCUUGUUGGUGGGGUGAUGGCUUACCAAGGCUUUGACGGGUAACCGGCCUGAGAGGGUGACCGGUCACAUUGGGACUGAGAUACGGCCCAGACUCCUACGGGAGGCAGCAGUGGGGAAUAUUGCACAAUGGGCGAAAGCCUGAUGCAGCGACGCCGCGUGAGGGAUGACGGCCUUCGGGUUGUAAACCUCUUUCGCUCAUGGUCAAGCCGCAACAGUGGUUGUGGUGAGGGUAGUGGGUAAAGAAGCACCGGCUAACUACGUGCCAGCAGCCGCGGUAAUACGUAGGGUGCGAGCGUUGCCUGCAAUUAUUGGGCGUAAAGGGCUUGUAGGC
Molecule: ribosomal RNA, 552 nt
Filed under: uncultured Actinomyces sp.
Lineage: Bacteria; Bacillati; Actinomycetota; Actinomycetes; Actinomycetales; Actinomycetaceae
Description: bacterial SSU rRNA
Rfam family: Bacterial small subunit ribosomal RNA
Source: RNAcentral